RNAcentral lists this ribosomal RNA (1670 nucleotides) under Diaporthe sojae. Its description in RNAcentral is "SSU rRNA". It matches the Rfam family "Bacterial small subunit ribosomal RNA". The record is from RNAcentral. Lineage: Eukaryota; Fungi; Ascomycota; Sordariomycetes; Diaporthales; Diaporthaceae.
UGAAAGGUGAGUUUGGUGAUGGCUCUGAUUGAACGCUGUCCAAAUGCUUGACACAUGCUAAUCGUACGUUUAAUUUAUGCUUUUCGGAUAUUAUCUAGGCACCCUGAAUUAUAAAUAGUAAUGGUGUAAUUUCUUUUGUCUAUCCUUCUAUAUCCCGAACUUCGUUCGGGAUCAGGGAGGCUGGCGGAGAUAUUGAAGGUGAAUUAAAAGUGGUGUACAGGUGAGUGAAAGAUAUUCGGCCGACCUUAAAGAGAGGGGAAAAAUCCCUCAUAAAAAUAAAAAAAAAGGGUGUAAUAACCGCUUUAAGAGGAAAGGUAUCUGCGGGAUAGGUAGUAGUUAAGGUAAUGGCUUAACUAGCCAACAAUUCUCGGAGUCGAAGCUGAAAUGGUUGAUCGACCACAUUGGGGAUGAAAAAAUCCCAAGGCAUAUAUGUACAGCAGUGAGGAAUCUUGGUCAAUGGCCUAACGGCUGAACUGGCAACUUGGAUGAAUGGACCGACUAUCCCCUUAAGAAAGAGGUAAGAGGUAGUGCAGGAGAUCCUUUUAAGGAGUAAAGUUCUAAAUAUAUGAUUGAUAAUGACAGUCUAUAUAUUAUGUCUUGACCAAUUACGUGCCAGCAGUCGCGGUAAUACGUAUGAGACUAGUGUUAUUCAUCUUAAAUAGGUUUAAAGGGUACCUAGACGGCAAAUGUCACCUUUAAAAGGUUAUUAUUUUGCUAGAGUUUUAUGUGAAGAGGCCGUACUUGUGAGUGGAGAGUUAAAAUUCUGUGAUACCUGGAGGACGGAUAAAGGCGAAGGCAGCCUCUUAUGUAGAAACUGACGUUGAAGGACGAAGGCAUUGCGGCACGAACAGGAUUAGGGACCCUAGUAGUCUUUGCAGACAAUGAUGAAUGCCAUAGGUUAGGUUAUUACUUAGUCUAUAAAUGAAAGUGUAAGCAUUUCACCUCAAGAGUAAUGCGGCAACGCAGGAACUGAAAUCACUAGACCGUUUCUGACACCAGUAGUGAAGUAUGUUGUUUAAUUCGAUGAUCCACGAAAAAUCUUACCACAAUUUGAAUAGAAUAAAAUAAUUAAAACGACUUCGUCGUAGUGAUGAUCAAUACUAUUGAUAUUACGUAUUACGUCGUGGUUUUAGUAUAUUUAUUCAUACAAGUGUUGCACGGCUGUUUCCAGUUAAUGUUGUGAAACUGUGGUAAAAGCCAUGGAAUUAACGUAAACCUGAGCUUUAUUUGUAAAUAUAUUAUGAUAGAGCUAAAUCGUCCUGUAUAUGGGAUUUGAUAACAGGGACUAAGACAAGUCAUCAUGGCCUUAAUAUUGUGGGCUAAAGACGUGCCACAUAUUCCUAAACAAAGAGAUGCGAAAAUGCGAAUUUUAGCUAAUCUCAAAAAAUAGGAUAAAAAAGAUAUGGAUUGUAGCCUGAAAUUCGGCUACAUGAAUAAGAAAUUGCUAGUAAUCGUGAAUCACUAUGUCACGGUGAAUAUAACCUUGGAUUGGUACUAACCACUCGUCACAUGCUGAAAGGAGUACGUGCAAUAAGUUUGCUCUCUUAUUUUAAUCCAGCGAAUAAUAGGAUUCGGGUUUUUUUAUAGGAUUCUUCGUAUGCGCGAUUCUAAUUGGUGUUAAGUCGAAAUACGGUUCAUGUAGUGGAAGUUGCAUGGGAUUGAUUAACAUU